Molecule: long non-coding RNA, 1057 nt
Organism: Gadus macrocephalus (Pacific cod)
Lineage: Eukaryota; Metazoa; Chordata; Actinopteri; Gadiformes; Gadidae
Exons: 2
Source: RefSeq, a predicted model, not a curated record
GUAAGGUUAGUUAAAUGGACGAACGCGAACACAGGUUGUGGACCCUGGUUUUCAGACCGUAACGUUACAGACGUUGGGAUUGAUUACACAGUUAACUUGGUUAUUUUGCUAUUUAAGCUGCUUUGGUUUGGUAGUGUAAAGCAAAACUAAUUCUAACAUUUGGUUUUGGUUUAGGGGGCCAGCAGCAUACUGCUCGAUUUAUUCUAUUGAGGGGGGAGAAUGAUGAGCUGUUCACCGGGGUGAAAUACUCAGCAAGUGUGGCUUGGGGGUAAAGAAACAAUCGUUUAUUUAUAUCGACAAUUCUGGAGAAAAUAGGCCUGCAGGGGAAGGUGUCUCCCCCGCAGGCAAAGAAAAACUUUUGCUGAAAUUUGUUUUGAUACUGCUCUUGUUGUUAACUGCCAUGAUUGAUUUCCUCUGCCUUAGGAUUGCAAGUAUCCAGGGUCAGGAGAGGGGGUAGGUGGGAAACCCACUGCUGCCACUUGGCCCUGGUUUGUCCCCUUGGAUAAGGUAUUGUGACAUAUGCAUUCCACCAACCCCCCUGUCCUAAUUGCCUCCAUCCCUGAGAACACACCAGGGCCAAGUACAGCAAGUACAGCAGUGGUGGAUCAGGAGGUUGAGGACAAGAUCAGGAGGAGGAAAGACAGCGAGGGCCAAGGUCCAGAAAGAGGGACAGAGAGGAAGACAUGUUCCAGAGUCGCUCACUAUCUUCCGAAAAGGACUCAAGAUUCACCUGUUCAGAGUCCACCUCGACUGCAUAGCCACCCUCCCCCUUCUGGCAACCAUUGUACCCUGUGUUGUAUUGUAUUAUAGUACUUAACUGUGUAGCAACUGCAGUAGCUGCUAUCAUGGCUGUAACACGGGGAAUGGGUUAGCCUAGCGAUUGUGGUACUUGCACUUGGUUCUAUGAACAUCCUUUCUGUACCGACAGCGAUAUAUUGAUGCACUUCUUAUGACAAAUGUACUUAUUGUAAGUCGCUUUGGAUAAAAGCGUCUGCUAAAUGCCCUAAAUGUCAAAUGUCAAUGUUCCAGUUAAUAAAAGAGGACAUGAGGCUACAAA